UGUCCCUGAUCUGGUAAAUGGAGAGUUGGUACUCUCUCAUCAGCCAGGGCCAAACCAACCCUAUUACCACAGCAUGGCUUCUGGUCUAUAUCUGAGCCUGGUUCAUGCCUUGGGCACAUUG
Small nucleolar RNA from Fukomys damarensis (Damara mole-rat), 121 nucleotides. Lineage: Eukaryota; Metazoa; Chordata; Mammalia; Rodentia; Bathyergidae. The record is from Ensembl.